GGAGAGGUGGCGGAAUUGGUAGACGCGCUACUUUGAGGGGGUAGUGACAGUUUGUCGUGGGAGUUCGAGUCUCCUCCUCUUCA
Molecule: transfer RNA, 83 nt
Filed under: Bacteroides sp.
Lineage: Bacteria; Pseudomonadati; Bacteroidota; Bacteroidia; Bacteroidales; Bacteroidaceae
Also listed under: 3 other names
Description: tRNA-Leu
Rfam family: tRNA
About the family: Transfer RNA (tRNA) molecules are approximately 80 nucleotides in length.
Source: RNAcentral